GUCCCUGUAGCGUAUUGAAUAACCCGUUGGACUUCUAAUCCAAAGGUCGUGGCUCGAAUUCUAUCUGGGAUG
Non-coding RNA from Trichonephila inaurata madagascariensis, 72 nucleotides. NCBI's taxonomy places the organism in Eukaryota, Metazoa, Arthropoda, Arachnida, Araneae, Nephilidae. The record is from the annotation of a GenBank genome assembly.